AACAAACGCUGGCGGCGUGCUUAAGCAUGCAAGUUGAGCGGCAAGGAGGAGAGAUCCUCCCUAGAGCGGCGGACUGGUGAGUAACGCGUGGGUAAUCUAUCGUAGGCAUGGGGAUAGUCACUAGAAAUAGUGGGUAAUACCGAAUACGUUCCAUGAGGGGAGUAUUCAUGGAAGAAAGGGUGCUACGGCACUGGCCUUAGGUGAGCUCGCGUCCCAUUAGCUAGUUGGUGAGGUAAAGGCCCACCAAGGCGAUGAUGGGUAGCCGGCCUGAGAGGGUGUACGGCCACACUGGGACUGAGAUACGGCCCAGACUCCUACGGGAGGCAGCAGCUAAGAAUAUUCCGCAAUGGACGGAAGUCUGACGGAGCGACGCCGCGUGGAUGAAGAAGGCCGAAAGGUUGUAAAGUUCUUUUGCUAGGGGAGAAUAAGUGUGGGAGGGAAUGCCUGCACGAUGACAAGGACUAGCGAAUAAGUCCCGGCCAACUACGUG
Molecule: ribosomal RNA, 490 nt
Filed under: uncultured bacterium
Lineage: Bacteria
Description: bacterial SSU rRNA
Rfam family: Bacterial small subunit ribosomal RNA
Source: RNAcentral